This 3936-nucleotide long non-coding RNA is filed under the name Brassica napus (rape). RNAcentral's name for it is "long non-coding RNA (BNAP_LNC015589)". The record is from RNAcentral. Lineage: Eukaryota; Viridiplantae; Streptophyta; Magnoliopsida; Brassicales; Brassicaceae.
GCGACCGUGAGUAUUCGUUGUAACAAAGAUUGUUAAAAUUUUCACUGCACGGGUGUUAGAUCCGAUCUGAAACCGAUCUUCUGGCGAUGGACUUAGCUGAACUUUGGGCGAUUUUCGGGCCGGGUUUCUCCGGCGCUGUUUUCGGCACCGGCUGGUGGUUUUGGGUCGACGCCGUCGUAUGCAGCUCCAUCCAAGUUCCCUUCCUCCACUACCUUCCCGGUAAAACUAUCUCUCACAAAUAACCCUCCCGGGGUAAAUCUGAUUUAGGGUUUCCGUUUAACGCAGGCAUAUUCGCCUCUCUCGGAGCAUUGAUGUUCAAUUGCGUCAGAAAAGAAGAUAUCGAUUACUCUCCUUAUGACGAAGGCGAAUGGAGGUUUCUUUUCCAUUCCUCUCUUCGUUGACUUGGAAUCAUGUUUUCUUUUCGAAUCAGAAGACUUUGAUAAAAUCGAGCUUUUCGCUGAGAUUAAUGUAUAUGAUGACAAUAAUGUAAUUAAUUAAGAUUUAAAUUUCAACUUGUUAAAAUAAAAAUUUGUAAGCUAAUUUAUUUACCUCUCAUAUUGAAGAACGUCUUCGCAGUUGGUGAGCAAAUAUGUUUGCAAAUGACUGUGCUCCUGCUCAGUAAGUCGACGGUCCUUUGGUUUUCCGCUAAGUCGUCCAACGUCUGUGAAAAUGUCUGGAACCGUAACAUGAUAUGUUGCCCGUUCGCCUCUAUCAUCAUGCCGAGCAGGUCUUCUGUUUUUGGUUUGAACUUCUGCUGAAAAGUAGUACUCGGUAAAGUUUGAAGUUUCUUCAUUGAUCAUCUGUGCGACUAUAGAACCUUCCACCCUACUUAAAUUUUUCACCAUCUUCUUCAAAUGGAACAUAUACCGCUCACACAGAUACAUCCAUCUAUACUGCACAGGACCACCAAGUUACAAUUCUCUUGCCAGGUGAAUAACAAGAUGCUCCAUAACAUCAAAAAAUGAGGGAGGAAAUAUCUUCUCAAGGUUGCACUGAAUCACGGCUAUGUAAUCUUCAGCCAAAUUAUAAUUUGUUUUAAUGCCCAUCAAUCUUGUAGCCAACCAACUGCUCAAAGUACGGUGAGAUUGUGACUGUCGGUGGUUUGGCUUCGUCGACCUCGAACAUGGAUGAAAUCAAUUGGGUUCAUUUGGAUUUUGAAAAUUAAAGGAAAAAACUGAAAGUAAAACCCAGAAAAAUCGAGCUAUUACAUGAUGUUAUGGUUAUCAUCACUCUGUCUGACCGAUCAUGUCCUUUUUGUGUGUGUGUGUCUGCUAACACCGAUCAUCUCCUUCUCUUCAUAUUCCACAAUCUGAUGUUUCUUUUUGGGCUUUACUAGUCUCCUCCAAAUCAUCUAUUGGGUCAAACAAUCAAUUAUAUAUGUACGACCCAUUUCCACAAACUAAGUCUCCAAAAGCUUAUUUUUUGUUGUUUCAAUAUCAUUAAAGUGGCUAGUGGUCUUAUAUUGCUUUUGUAACUCUUACCGUAUAAGUAAGAGGAUAGUUUAAUGAUAAUACAGAUGAUGUAAAUAAGUGAGAGGCUAGUUUUUGUUCUGUAAAAUCGAGCAAUAUUACUGUGUAUAUACAAAUUGAUGACUAAAGAUAAACAUGAAUGCACAAAAUCAAUACAUUUACAUGGGACAUAAAAAUUUAUUUUACAUAAACAUGUAUUAUGCAUAAAAAUUAGUAAUACACAUAUAAAUAGAGCAUAAAAGUACGAAAAAUUCCUCCUCGCGUACUUUCCGAUUUUUUCCCGAUUUUUCAAUAAAUCGCUAGGCUCUAGUAUGCCGCACGCGUAGCGCCUAACGAGUUUCCGAACAAAGAAAAUAAUAAACACUAGAACUUGAUCCGCGCCCCCGCGCGGGUGCUUGAUUUAAUUUUUGUUUAACAUAAACGUGAGCUCACUGAGGCGAGUUGAGCCAAUACGGUUGCCUUCAACGCCAUACCGAUUCUUGACCGCAGAAAGCGUGGUUUAACAUUACGCGGCCGUUGAAACGUGAAAUCGUCUGACCCAAAAAUCGGUCAUUCUACGUUUAUACACAAUCUUCUUCUCUCUUUUCCGACAAGACAACAAAAGUUGUGAUUGCUUUUCCUCAAAUUCACUUAAUCGAAACCAAAUCACCAGAAUCAAGCUCAUCCAUCACUUGCAAAUCCAAAUUGAAGCAGAUUCAGGUUUUUUAUCUUUGUUUCCAAACAGUACUAAAGGUACUUCAGUUUUAAUAAUAUAGAUGUAGGCCAAGUUGGAGUUGAAACUAAUAUAUGAGAUCUUCAGAGACGCUUCGAAAAAACAAAUAUUCAAGGAUCUGAAUCUAAAUAAUAAUUUUACGGAUUCAUAUACUGAAAUUAUAGUUUGGAUAUCCAGAUUCCAAUAUUUUAAAAUCUCGGAAAAAUAAAUAUGUAUGUUAGAACAAAACUAUAUAAAGUAUUUUUUGUUUAACUCAAAAUUUUAUUAAAUCUUUUAUAACGAAACACAUCGUGGAUAACAAAAGCUGGUAGAAAAUGAUAAUAUCUACAGAAACAAUAGCCCAAAAGAAAGAUACAAUAACAGUGAGGUAGGAUAAUACGAAAAAUAAGCAUUAGAGAGCCAUCGAUACUAAAACUGGGAUUGAUGGACUGAACAUAACUCGCAGACACUCCAAAAUAACAUGAGACCGAAGAUAACCAAAGAACCAAUGACCUAGGUAAACCCAACCCUGAAGGGUACACCACCAAGUCCAAACAGGCACAACAUCGGUACAUGCAUGUGUGAGGAUAAACUUAAAUCAACACCAGAGACUGUUGCAAACCGGAGCCGAGACAAAACCAAGUCAAAACCAAACACCUAGGCUCAAGGACACACAUACUUGAAACGCUAAAGGGGAAAACACUAGUGAAUAUUUACAUGUCUUACAUGCGGACACUAGUUAGGCAGAAUAUCAAUCUACAUAGCUCAAACUGGUCAACUCCUCGCAAGAGAAAACAUGCAAAUCAAACCCACUGCUUUGUCUAGAAACGUUCGCCCAAUACAUAGUGGAUAAAAGAGAGGUCGCGUUUCGCCCGAUACACAGUGGACAAAAGAGAGGUCUAGUAGAUACUUCCACAACAACUACACCUCACACUAACGAAUCCAAAAAACUAGAACAAGACGAAAAAACUAAUUGACCAUAACUGUAACUAACCAAUGAGAAACAAAAGCACCACAACCUAAUUCUAAAGCAGCCUUAGCUUGACAACAAAAAUAAUUCUAUAGAUCCUGAUCGUUAAAACCAGUGAGAGAUAUAAACUAACAAAAGGGAAACCUUCGCCCAAAACCACCAUAAACCAUACAAAACAUAUAUGAGAAGUACCGCCAAUCACGGAGAAAAAUUGGCGACUAUGGAAUUUUUUUUUCUUUUCUUUUUUUUCAUGGGUACGGCGGCUUAACUUAGCUAUAUAAAAAUAAUUUAAAAUAACUAAAAUUUUAUGUACUAGAGAAUUGAGCUGAAUGGAUAUGGGCUAUGGGCUAUGGGCUUUUGUCUAAUUGACAUGUCUAAAUUCAAUUCUCAAUCAAAAACCACCAAAACAUUAUCUCUUUAAAUAGGUUUUGGAGUUAAACAGAAAAAAAAGGUUUUCGGAAAAUUAAUAGGGGCGACAGUGAGUAUUCGUUGUAACAAAGAUUGUUAAAAUUUUCACUGCACGGGUGUUAGAUCCGAUCUGAAACCGAUCAUCUAGCGAUGGACUUAGCUGAACUUUGGGCGAUUUUCGGGCCGGGUUUCUCCGGCGCUGUUUUCGGCACCGGCUGGUGGUUUUGGGUCGACGCCGUCGUAUGCAGCUCCAUCCAAGUUCCCUUCCUCCACUACCUUCCCGGUAAAACUAUCUCUCACAAAUAACCCUCCCGGGGUAAAUCUGAUUUAGGGUUUCCGUUUAACGCAGGCAUAUUCGCCUCUCUCGGAGCAUUGAUGUUCAAUUGCGUCAGAAAAGA